Molecule: ribosomal RNA, 490 nt
Filed under: uncultured bacterium
Lineage: Bacteria
Description: partial 16S ribosomal RNA
Rfam family: Bacterial small subunit ribosomal RNA
Source: RNAcentral
AGUGAACGCUGGCGGUAGGCCUAACACAUGCAAGUCGAACGGCAGCACAGUAAGAGCUUGCUCUUACGGGUGGCGAGUGGCGGACGGGUGAGGAAUACAUCGGAAUCUACUUUUUCGUGGGGGAUAACGUAGGGAAACUUACGCUAAUACCGCAUAUGACCUACGGGUGAAAGCAGGGGAUCUUCGGACCUUGCGCGAUUGAAUGAGCCGAUGUCGGAUUAGCUAGUUGGCGGGGUAAAGGCCCACCAAGGCGACGAUCCGUAGCUGGUCUGAGAGGAUGAUCAGCCACACUGGAACUGAGACACGGUCCAGACUCCUACGGGAGGCAGCAGUGGGGAAUAUUGGACAAUGGGCGCAAGCCUGAUCCAGCCAUACCGCGUGGGUGAAGAAGGCCUUCGGGUUGUAAAGCCCUUUUGUUGGGAAAGAAAAGCAGCAGGUUAAUACCCCGCUGUUCUGACGGUACCCAAAGAAUAAGCACCGGCUAACUUCG